Molecule: ribosomal RNA, 497 nt
Filed under: uncultured bacterium
Lineage: Bacteria
Description: partial 16S ribosomal RNA
Rfam family: Bacterial small subunit ribosomal RNA
Source: RNAcentral
GAUGAACGCUGGCGGCGUGCCUAAUACAUGCAAGUCGAGCGAACAGAUAAGGAGCUUGCUCCUUUGACGUUAGCGGCGGACGGGUGAGUAACACGUGGGUAACCUACCUAUAAGACUGGGAUAACUUCGGGAAACCGGAGCUAAUACCGGAUAACAUUUGGAACCGCAUGGUUCUAAAGUGAAAGAUGGUUUUGCUAUCACUUAUAGAUGGACCCGCGCCGUAUUAGCUAGUUGGUAAGGUAACGGCUUACCAAGGCGACGAUACGUAGCCGACCUGAGAGGGUGAUCGGCCACACUGGAACUGAGACACGGUCCAGACUCCUACGGGAGGCAGAAGUAGGGAAUCUUCCGCAAUGGGCGAAAGCCUGACGGAGCAACGCCGCGUGAGUGAUGAAGGGUUUCGGCUCGUAAAACUCUGUUAUUAGGGAAGAACAAACGUGUAAGUAACUGUGCACGUCUUGACGGUACCUAAUCAGAAAGCCACGGCUAACUACGUG